Molecule: long non-coding RNA, 832 nt
Organism: Homo sapiens (human)
Lineage: Eukaryota; Metazoa; Chordata; Mammalia; Primates; Hominidae
Exons: 5
Source: RefSeq, marked validated
GGAGUCCCCUCGUUUCAGGCUCUUCAGUGUCAGUGCUCAGUAUCUGCCUUAGAGAACUACGAGAAGGGGCUGCUAGCAGCCGCCAUCCGGGGCACUGGGUGGCUGCAGGUGGUGGUGGCGAUGGAACGGUAGGAGGGCGGCCAGCAGCGGGAGCUUCUCCUGCCGGGCAGGAGGACGAGUAGAAGGGAGAGGCACCACCACAUGCUGGAGGCUGGAGCUUGCACCGCCGCAGCUCGCCUCACUGCAGUUGGAGGUGACGUUGGACACUACAGCUUGGCCAGAGUGGUAGAAAUGUUGUUGCAUAGGAUUACCAGGAGACACCAGGUGCUGCAGCAGCUUCGGGAUAACUUGAGGAUGCAUCCUGGGGAAGAGACACCUCUUGUCCAUGGCGCUGACUACUGAGGACAGCUUCGGUGUGGCUUUUCUGCGGCCAGCUUCUUUGAGGCCUUUUUCUUUCAUGGAUGGUAGAGAGCAGUCUACAGCCUGAGACCCAUCACAAGGAAGAUGUUGAGGCCAAGAGAGAUAGGACGACCAUGGGCCUCAUGCUGCCCAGGAAUAGCCCCGAUUACCCUGGCCCCCAGCUCCAUGCAGCCUGCAUGGCCAGGUUCCUUGUGAGACACCUGGGGGACUCCAAACAGCCGGAAUCCAUCUGCCCACUGGUCCGGAGACAGGGAUCCUCCGCCUCCUUCCAGGGUUGAUGGCUCAGGAGGCCUUCUCUGCAGGGGACCAGGACACAGGAAAGCCAGGAAGAGAUGAGCUGGGAAGGGAGCUGUUGGGGGCCAUUCUGGUUUUAAAAAUAAAGCAGGACUUUCGUUGCUUGUUAUAAAAGGAA